UUUUAUAUACUUGAACUUGUCUAUAACACUUUCGAGCACUACCGAAGAUAUUAAUUAUACUCAUAAAAGGCGCUCGCCUAUUUAGAAAGCCGUGGUGGUGUGUCCGUAGGAGUCCUCGUUUCUACGGGGAACCUCCUGUUAAUUGAAUCGCUCAUUGCGGCUUUAUAUAAUGUUUCACUCGUAUGCUUCAGUUCCUCGCAAGCAAUUUUCAUUGCAGAGAAUUGGUUUUUUAGAAGAUUCUCUCUUUGUUUUUCUUGUCGAUAUUCGUGUAUACGCCAAGCGCGAUUAAUAACUUCGUGUUUUUCCCACAUGUCUGGAUUCAUUUUCAAAGACCUGACUUUUUUAUUUCCGUAAAGAGCUUUUCUAACCAAAUCGAUUGACUCACUAUGAUUAGAAGGACCAGAUUGGUGCUUUCCCUUUGAGGCCUUAGCCAUUAAUUGUAACGUAGAACGCAUCUGCCAAAAAACUUUUCAACACAAACUAAAGUACUCCUU
This is a non-coding RNA of Schizosaccharomyces pombe (fission yeast), 494 nucleotides long. The record is from the annotation of a GenBank genome assembly. Lineage: Eukaryota; Fungi; Ascomycota; Schizosaccharomycetes; Schizosaccharomycetales; Schizosaccharomycetaceae.